GUAAGAAUUCGAGAUAGGCACUGCUCAAUCGUUCGCGGCGUAGGGAGCUUCAUUUCUACCGAACGUUUUCUCCGUUCCGACCGGGUGUGGUGGAAUUUUCGUGUGUGAGACACUAUAAAGGAGCGUUCCUGUGAGCUUGGUAGUUCAACUCCGAGGGUGUUGAUGUUGUUCUGUAUAACUGUAUGGAGCUUUGAACUGGUAUGUCUAUCCCUACACUCGAAGCACGGUUCAUACUCAGAUAGAGGAGAGCAGUGUAAGUGGUGAGAGUAGAGGGAGGUCCUCGUCUAUAGUCUUAGAGUUUAGACAUAGACAGAUUGGGGGAUUUACCUUGCAUAGUGUUGGGGUGUGCCAGCUGAACUACGCAAGUGCAAAGACGACCAAUAGUUCGAUAGUUAUACAAAUCCGGAUGAGUCGUGUGAGUGUUUGAGUAAUGUUUUUAAAGGAUGUUGUCGAGAAGGUUUCCUUGGAGCAAGAGCUGGAGGAGAAUGAUGCUGCUGCGCAGUCUAGUUAGGAUUUAGAUAUUUAAACCUUUGGAGAUUAAAUACUCUAAAAUGUCUAAGUUUAAAACUCUGUAUUAUAUUUUGGAUGACUGUAAUUCCGUAUUUAAUUGCAAGUCAUACUCUAACUGUUCUCUUUAUUGGGAAUGUUGACUCCUAAAUUAUAUGAUGUGGUUACUAUAUUUUGGGAUGUCACA
This 694-nucleotide small RNA is filed under the name Vigna angularis var. angularis. RNAcentral's name for it is "Non-protein coding transcript". Lineage: Eukaryota; Viridiplantae; Streptophyta; Magnoliopsida; Fabales; Fabaceae. The record is from RNAcentral.